UUGAUAAUCACUUUUGUUUGUCAUAUAUAUUGUUAAACUUUUACUUCUUAUCUUCAGAACCUUUCAAGAAUUGAUCAGUUCAACAUUUUAGAUCGCUUUUGUGAAGGUGAUUCACAUCUAUAGAGGAGAUCAUUGGCUCAGGAGUUGAAGAAAUCUUCUAGUUCUCAUCUCAGAGUUCCCGAAUUAAGCUGCCGAAUUUAUAUUUUUUACCUCACCACUAAAUGGGCUAAUGACGAGUGUGUUCGCAAGGCACUGCAUAUUCGCGAGGGAACCAUAGGGAAAUGGGAACGUUGUUACAAGACUGAUUUUGAGUUUCAGAUCUCUGAUAGCGUUGAGUUUCAUGCAAAUCUAAGCAAAAAAGGACAGCUCACGCCAAUAGAUAUUUCCUCCGAGAUUUAAGGUUCAAAUUCAAAUCAAGUCCCUCGAUAAUUUUUUUUGAGGUAUCGGUCCCUCAAUUUCGACAUAGCUAAUUUCAUGACAUGGCAUCUCACCAAC
Molecule: long non-coding RNA, 495 nt
Organism: Trifolium pratense (red clover)
Lineage: Eukaryota; Viridiplantae; Streptophyta; Magnoliopsida; Fabales; Fabaceae
Exons: 3
Source: RefSeq, a predicted model, not a curated record